AUUGAUAUGCGUCUAACAAGGUCUCCGUUGGUGAACCAGCGGAGGGAUCAUUA
RNAcentral lists this ribosomal RNA (53 nucleotides) under Purpureocillium lilacinum. RNAcentral's name for it is "partial 18S ribosomal RNA". The record is from RNAcentral. Lineage: Eukaryota; Fungi; Ascomycota; Sordariomycetes; Hypocreales; Ophiocordycipitaceae.